UGAACGCUGGCGGCGUGCCUAAUACAUGCAAGUCGAGCGAACGGACGAGAAGCUUGCUUCUCUGAUGUUAGCGGCGGACGGGUGAGUAACACGUGGAUAACCUACCUAUAAGACUGGGAUAACUUCGGGAAACCGGAGCUAAUACCGGAUAAUAUUUUGAACCGCAUGGUUCAAAAGUGAAAGACGGUCUUGCUGUCACUUAUAGAUGGAUCCGCGCUGCAUUAGCUAGUUGGUAAGGUAACGGCUUACCAAGGCAACGAUGCAUAGCCGACCUGAGAGGGUGAUCGGCCACACUGGAACUGAGACACGGUCCAGACUCCUACGGGAGGCAGCAGUAGGGAAUCUUCCGCAAUGGGCGAAAGCCUGACGGAGCAACGCCGCGUGAGUGGUGAAGGUCUUCGGAUCGUAAAACUCUGUUAUUAGGGAAGAACAUAUGUGUAAGUAACUGUGCACAUCUUGACGGUACCUAAUCAGAAAGCCACGGCUAACUACGUG
Molecule: ribosomal RNA, 495 nt
Filed under: uncultured bacterium
Lineage: Bacteria
Description: partial 16S ribosomal RNA
Rfam family: Bacterial small subunit ribosomal RNA
Source: RNAcentral